UACGAAGGGGGCUAGCGUUGUUCGGAAUCACUGGGCGUAAAGCGCACGUAGGCGGAUCUUUAAGUCAGGGGUGAAAUCCCGAGGCUCAACCUCGGAACUGCCUUUGAUACUGGGGAUCUCGAGUCCGGGAGAGGUGAGUGGAACUGCGAGUGUAGAGGUGAAAUUCGUAGAUAUUCGCAAGAACACCCGUGGCGCAAGCGACCACCUGGCCGAGACCUGACGCUGAGGCACGAGAGCGUGGGGAGCGAACCGG
This 253-nucleotide ribosomal RNA is filed under the name uncultured bacterium. RNAcentral's name for it is "partial 16S ribosomal RNA". It matches the Rfam family "Bacterial small subunit ribosomal RNA", at positions 524 to 776 of the family's 1533-position model. The record is from RNAcentral.